AUGAGGCAAGAGUGAGUUAUUGGAAUGAGUCUUAGCAGUGUGAGCACAGAGAAGCUUACAUUUGGACCGGGGACGACUCUCACAGUUGUGCCAAAAUUUCCAAAAUCUUCCAUCCCUCAAGUCAUUGUGAUGAAAUCCAAGAACCUGCAAGAAGGUGGUGGCCCUGGGAAAGCAGCUUGUUUGGCAAGGAACUUCGUCACAAAGAGCAUCAGCUUGGAGAUGCCCUCUAAGGAGGUCGUGUAUGAACAGAGCACCUCCAUUCUGACAUCAGAGGGGUACAAUGCAAUUAAAGUGGUCAACGUGACAAGAGACACAGUCGUGAACUGCACGGCCAAAUUCGACAACAGCGCAAUAACAAAGCCAGCAGAGGAGGUUGAAGAACCAGUGGCAGGGGCCAGUAAGAGGGUUUGCAACAGCACAGAGCCCUCAGCACCAGAUGCUGAAGGGCAGAGAGUGAACAUGCUGUCCAUGGCUGUGUUGGGUUUGAGAGUCCUGCUGGCAAAGAGCAUCGCCUUCAACACCCUCCUGAGUAUCAAGUUGUUCCUUCUCUGAGUCAUGGGGAAUGAAGGCAAGAGGAGCCCGAGGAAGAGCAGGAAAGAACGUGAACCAGCAGCACAAGGGGCUGGAACAAGCAGGGCCAGAGCAGCUGACAGAGACCACCCAGGACACAAGGCAGCACCUUCCCCUGAAGACAUUGAACACUGGUCACUCCUGCCUGGCCAGCUGAUUUACACUGAAGAGUUUUAAGUGCUUUUGCUGUUUGCUCUCCUCUGAGACCUGACGGGAGUGCAUUUAUCCUCAUCCUCCUGCUAAGCAAUGUCCCCAUUCUCGUGGCAUUUGCACACAAGUGUCCCAGCUGCUUCAAUAGCUUUGAGAACUCCAAUGCUCUCUCUAGGUACGUGGCCUUUCAAAAGCACCUUUCCCAGGCAUGUUGUGGUACUGCCUGUGCAACUGCAGUAGUACUGCUGAGGGAAUUCAAGCCCAGCAGUUGCCAUUUGGAGCUUUGGCUUUUAGAUGGAUUUCAUAAGUGAGUACCGUAGAUGAGAAGAGCUGUGUAGGAUGGGAAGUGAUGUCAUUCAACCCCCUAAUGUUCAUUUCUUUACAAAGCCUGUAUUUCUUCUGCCAGAUGUAUCGUAUGAGCA
This is a non-coding RNA of Cinclus cinclus, 1142 nucleotides long. The record is from the annotation of a RefSeq genome assembly. Lineage: Eukaryota; Metazoa; Chordata; Aves; Passeriformes; Cinclidae.